RNAcentral lists this ribosomal RNA (254 nucleotides) under uncultured bacterium. Its description in RNAcentral is "partial 16S ribosomal RNA". It matches the Rfam family "Bacterial small subunit ribosomal RNA", at positions 524 to 776 of the family's 1533-position model. The record is from RNAcentral.
UACGGAGAGUGCAAGCGUUGUUCGGAAUUAUUGGGCGUAAAGCGCGUGUAGGCGGUCCAACAAGUCUGGCGUGAAAGCCUUGAGCUCAACUCAAGAAGUGCGCUGGAAACUGUCGGACUUGAGUACUGGAGGGGGAGGUGGAAUUCUCGAGUGUAGAGGUGAAAUUCGUAGAUAUUCGGAAGAACAUCAGUGGCGAAGGCGACCUCCUGGACAGAUACUGACGCUGAGACGCGAAAGCGUGGGUAGCAAACAGG